This 253-nucleotide ribosomal RNA is filed under the name uncultured bacterium. RNAcentral describes it as "partial 16S ribosomal RNA". It matches the Rfam family "Bacterial small subunit ribosomal RNA", at positions 524 to 776 of the family's 1533-position model. The record is from RNAcentral.
UACGUAGGGUGCGAGCGUUAAUCGGAAUUACUGGGCGUAAAGCGUGCGCAGGCGGUUUUGUAAGCCAGAUGUGAAAUCCCCGGGCUCAACCUGGGAACUGCAUCCGAAACUGACUUGCUAGAGUAUGGGAGAGGGAGGCGGAAUUUCUGGUGUAGCAGUGAAAUGCGUAGAUAUCAGAAGGAACAUCAGUGGCGAAGGCGGCCUCCUGGACCAAUACUGACGAUCAGGUGCGAAAGCGUGGGGAGCAAACAGG